AAGAACUUAGGAUAACCAAACCAAAAGCCUUCAAAGCUUUAAAUAAGGGUUUAACCCCUUAGUUUUU
RNAcentral lists this transfer RNA (67 nucleotides) under Anolis whitemani. RNAcentral's name for it is "tRNA-Trp". It matches the Rfam family "tRNA". From Rfam's summary of the family: Transfer RNA (tRNA) molecules are approximately 80 nucleotides in length. The record is from RNAcentral. Lineage: Eukaryota; Metazoa; Chordata; Lepidosauria; Squamata; Anolidae.